CCACCGCGGUUAUACGAGAGACCCUAGUUGAUACCUACGGCGUAAAGAGUGGUUUGGGAUCUCCCUUAAAAUAAAGCCAAAGACCUUCCAAGCCGUCAAAUGCAUCCCGAAGGCACGAAGCCCCAACGCGAAAGCAACUUUACCUUACCCCCGACGCCACGAAAGCUAAGAAACAAACU
RNAcentral lists this ribosomal RNA (179 nucleotides) under Metynnis melanogrammus. RNAcentral's name for it is "partial small subunit ribosomal RNA". The record is from RNAcentral. Lineage: Eukaryota; Metazoa; Chordata; Actinopteri; Characiformes; Serrasalmidae.